RNAcentral lists this non-coding RNA (595 nucleotides) under Pan troglodytes (chimpanzee). Lineage: Eukaryota; Metazoa; Chordata; Mammalia; Primates; Hominidae. The record is from RNAcentral.
CUUCUUCCCUCCCUCCUUCCUUCAUUCCUUGCACCUUUUCUUGUUUCAGUCUUUAUUCUUUCUUUCUCCUUCUUCUACCUCUUUUUCAUUUCAUUUCUUUCUUUUUUUUUUUUUUUUUUGAGACAAGGCUUGGCCUUGUUGCUCAAGCUGGGUUCACCCUCUCUACUCCCCACCCCCACCCCUGCCAUAGCGUCUACCUUCCCUGGGGAGGAGGGCUUCUCUGCUGUUCUCCCCUGCCUGGUGUGAGCUCACAUUCUCUGUGUGUUGCACAGGCCUCAUAACCAUCAGUUGUUACUGAUGCUUGUUUUGGUUGUCAAAGAAGAAUGAGGAGAGGAGUUAUAGGAGGUGGACUUGGAGGUUUGUUCGGGGUCACUGGCUGCAGCAAGUCUCCUCCCACAGAGCCGACCCCAUUCCUCAGACCUACACUCUGUACAGCAUGGGUACUGACCAACUCAUGGUUAAAUGGAAGCUGGGCCUCCAAGCCCUUCUCGGACUCAGAAUCCUCCCAGCAGACACCCAGGCAGAGGAGUGUGAAUUCUCAGCCCCUAAAAAGGACAGCCCUGUGAGGCAGGCUCACAGGUGCCUAGAGGAUCUU